GACCACAUCAUGUUGAAACGCCAGUUCUCGUACGAUCACCGACGUUAAGCAAUGUCGAGAUAGGUCAGUACCUAGAUGGGUGACCGUUUGGGAAUUCUAGGUGCUGUAAG
This is a non-coding RNA of Acanthosepion pharaonis, 110 nucleotides long. Lineage: Eukaryota; Metazoa; Mollusca; Cephalopoda; Sepiida; Sepiidae. The record is from the annotation of a GenBank genome assembly.